This 406-nucleotide ribosomal RNA is filed under the name uncultured bacterium. RNAcentral describes it as "partial 16S ribosomal RNA". It matches the Rfam family "Bacterial small subunit ribosomal RNA", at positions 29 to 526 of the family's 1533-position model. The record is from RNAcentral.
AUUGAACGCUGGCGGCAGGCUUAACACAUGCAAGUCGAACGAGUGGCGGACGGGUGAGUAAUGUCUGGGAAACUGCCCGAUGGAGGGGGAUAACUACUGGAAACGGUAGCUAAUACCGCAUACCAUCGGAUGUGCCCAGAUGGGAUUAGCUAGUAGGUGGGGUAAAGGCUCACCUAGGCGACGAUCGCUAGCUGGUCUGAGAGGAUGAUCAGCCAAACUGGGACUGAGACACGGCCCAGACUCCUACGGGAGGCAGGAGUGGGGAAUAUUGCACAAUGGGCGCAAGCCUGAUGCAGCCAUGCCGCGUGUAUGAAGAAGGCCUUAGGGUUGUAAAGUACUUUCAGCGGGGAGGCGUGAAGGGAAGAAGAAGCACCGGCUAACUCCGUGCCAGCAGCCGCGGUAAUAG